Molecule: ribosomal RNA, 679 nt
Filed under: uncultured bacterium
Lineage: Bacteria
Description: bacterial SSU rRNA
Rfam family: Bacterial small subunit ribosomal RNA
Source: RNAcentral
AGAGUUUGAUCCUGGCUCAGAACGAACGCUGGCGGCAGGCCUAACACAUGCAAGUCGAACGAUGAAGGCUCUAGCUUGCUAGAGCUGGAUUAGUGGCGCACGGGUGAGUAACACGUGGGAAUUUGCCCUUAGGUACGGAAUAGCCCCGGGAAACUGGGAGUAAUACCGUAUGAUGUCUACGGACCAAAGAUUUAUCGCCUAAGGAUAAGCCCGCGUCGCAUUAGCUAGUUGGUGGGGUAAUGGCCUACCAAGGCGACGAUGCGUAGCUGGUUUGAGAGGAUGAUCAGCCACACUGGAACUGAGACACGGUCCAGACUCCUACGGGAGGCAGCAGUGAGGAAUAUUGGACAAUGGGCGCAAGCCUGAUCCAGCCAUGCCGCGUGAGUGAAGAAGGCCUUAGGGUUGUAAAACUCUUUCAGAUGGAAAGAUAAUGACGGUACCAUCAGAAGAAGCCCCGGCUAACUUCGUGCCAGCAGCCGCGGUAAUACGAAGGGGGCUAGCGUUGUUCGGAAUCACUGGGCGUAAAGCGCACGCAGGCGGAUCAUUAAGCUAGGGGCGAAAUCCCGGGGCUCAACCUCGGAACUGCCUUUAGAACUGGUGAUCUAGAGUCCGGAAGAGGAUGGUGGAAUUCCUAGUGUAGAGGUGAAAUUCGUAGAUAUUAGGAGGAACACCAGUGGCG